CCUACGGGUGGCAGCAGUGAGGAAUAUUGGUCAAUGGGCGCGAGCCUGAACCAGCCAAGUAGCGUGAAGGAUGACUGCCCUACGGGUGGUAAACUUCGUUUAUAAAGGAAUAAAGUCAUGCACGUGUGCGUUUUUGUAUGUACUUUAUGAAUAAGGAUCGGCUAACUCCGUGACAGCAGCCGCGGUAAUACGGAGGUUCCGAGCGUUAUCCGGAUUUAUUGGGUUUAAAGGGAGCGUAGGUGGAUUGUUAAGUCAGUUGUGAAAGUUUGCGGCUUAACCGUAAAAUUGCAGUUGAAACUGGCAGUCUUGAGUACAGUAGAGGUGGGUGGAAUUCGUGGUGUAGCGGUGAAAUGCUUAGAUAUCACGAAGAACUCCGAUUGCGAAGGCAGCUCACUGGACUGCAACUGACACUGAGGCUCGAAAGUGUGGGUAUCAAACAGGAUUAGAUACCCGAGUAGUC
This 460-nucleotide ribosomal RNA is filed under the name uncultured bacterium. RNAcentral describes it as "partial 16S ribosomal RNA". It matches the Rfam family "Bacterial small subunit ribosomal RNA", at positions 338 to 795 of the family's 1533-position model. The record is from RNAcentral.